Molecule: ribosomal RNA, 414 nt
Filed under: uncultured bacterium
Lineage: Bacteria
Description: bacterial SSU rRNA
Rfam family: Bacterial small subunit ribosomal RNA
Source: RNAcentral
GGGCCCGCACAAGCGGUGGAGCAUGUGGUUUAAUUCGAUGAUACGCGAGGAACCUUACCAGGGCUUAAAUGUAGUGGGACAGGUCUAGAGAUAGACCCUUCUUCGGACUCAUUACAAGGUGCUGCAUGGUUGUCGUCAGCUCGUGCCGUGAGGUGUCAGGUUAAGUCCUAUAACGAGCGCAACCCCUAUCGUUAGUUGCCAGCGAGUAAUGUCGGGAACUCUAACGAAACUGCCAGUGCAAACUGUGAGGAAGGUGGGGAUGACGUCAAAUCAUCACGGCCCUUACGUCCUGGGCUACACACGUGCUACAAUGGCCGGUACAGAGAGCAGCCACUUCGCAAGAAGGAGCGAAUCUAUUAAAACCGGUCUCAGUUCGGAUCGGAGUCUGCAACUCGACUCCGUGAAGCUGGAAUC